UAGAACUGUGUUGGAAUGUGUGAAAAACAUUACUUAAUCCAUUGUGAUGAAUCGUUUUGAUCACUUGACCUGAUGGGAUCAAGAGUUGGCAGUGGGAGAGGUAUUCACUCUUCUCUUUGAAUGGAAUGAAAUUUUUUUACUCUUCUCAUUGAAUACUCCUCCCACUGCCAACCCUUUAUCCUGAAACAAUAGGACAUACAUUUUUGAUGGGCAGUUAAUUGUCCAAAUCAGUGGAGCAGAUUUAAGUUUUUGUGCUCGAUACAUUCCUAAUAUUGAAUAGAAUUACCUCAAGUGACCAAAAUGCUUCGUCACAGUGGGUAAUGUUUUUUCACACAUUCCAACACAGUUCUAAAACUGCUUUAUACAACAUCUUGAUUUAUCUGUUUUUUUUAAAAUACAAUCAUGACGUAUACAGUAUACUACAUAGAUAUUAUUGUUAUUGAACUUGUGCUGAAUACAAAAAAGUCAUAUGCCUUUGAAAAUACUGCCUAGAUUUGUUGAAAUUGACAACAAAAUCAGAGCAUUCCAAAAUCAUUAGUCCCAGAAAAUACCCUCAGACCCCAGAGGGUUAAGUAUGGAGCUUCUUAUAGUCGCGCUAUAAAUUCACACUUGGCUUUCAGCUGCCACUAGCCUAUAUUUAGACGAUAUAAACUAUUGUGGCACAUUACAUGUCUCUACCUGUAUUCACACAGUUAAUAAAUAAAUAAAUAAAUAAAUAAAUAAAUAAAUAGGCUUUAUAGUUAGUAUGGACACACAUACAUAAACGUGUACACUGAGUUUCUACAUAUAAUAGGGUGCUUACCUUUUUGCGAGUUAUCCAUCUGGUGCUGGCUUUCUCACAUGACUGGCCAUCAUGGCCUGAAUAUAAGGUGUUUUCUGGUGCAGGCUUGCGUGCAACAUACAUUUCCAAGCCAGGUUUAUCCACGAAACAAUUCAGUGACUGUGUCUGUAUUUUCACUGUCCUUUCGUCCACAUUUUCAUUUCUCUUGAAGAACACCAAAGACUGCAAGUUUUUUCCUUACCAUAUAAAGACAGCAAUCGGAGGCCAUCCACAUCAGAUCUGCCUGAAUAUCAACAAAUCUUCGAGUAAGUUACAUGUUGAUCCUGAGACACCAGUGAUGCUGACCUCUCCUGCUCUUCAGACCUGCCUGAUCCAUCCUGUUGGCCAACAUCUGGCUGGAGUCUCAUCACAUUGCUCCUGUGGAGGAUGGCCCCAUAUGGACAGUCAAAAGGCACACUUGGAAGAUGGCUCUGGACACCUUACAGAUUUGCUAUGAUGGCUGAGCACUACAAUUGCCAUGAUAAAUUUAGGACUGCAGUUGUCAUGAACAGUUUUGCACUCAAGUCUCCAUCAAUGAAGUUGAUAACUUCAACAAAAUAGACUUCAUGCUAAAACUAUAAUGAAUGUCCUGGUUACACAGUUGUACUUUGUGACUAUAUAGUACACAGUUAUAGAGGCAAGUUAUUUAUAAUCAUGCUAUCUGUUAUCAUCCAAAUGAAGAUGGGUUCCCUUUUGAGUCUGGUUCCUCUCAAAGUUUAUUACUUGUGUUGACUGAGGGGUUUUUUCCUUGCCAACAUUGCCUCAGGCUUGCUCUUCUUCAGAAAUAAAUAAAUUUAUUAGGGAUAAAAUUAGUUCAUGUGUUUAAAGUUUUUAAUUUUCUGUCAAGCUGGUUUGCGACAAUGUCUGUUGUUAAAAGUGCUAUACAAAUAAACUGACUGACUUGACUGUA
Neoarius graeffei (lesser salmon catfish) is the source of this 1730-nucleotide long non-coding RNA. RefSeq lists it as uncharacterized. NCBI's taxonomy places the organism in Eukaryota, Metazoa, Chordata, Actinopteri, Siluriformes, Ariidae. The record is from RefSeq and is a predicted model, not a curated record. The transcript has 2 exons.